GAGAGGACCGGAGUGGACGCAUCACUGGUGUUCGGGUUGUCAUGCCAAUGGCACUGCCCGGUAGCUAAAUGCGGAAGAGAUAAGUGCUGAAAGCAUCUAAGCACGAAACUUGCCCCGAGAUGAGUUCUCCCUGAGACUUUAGAUCUCCUGAAGGAACGUUGAAGACGACGACGUUGAUAGGCCGGGUGUGUAAGCGCAGCGAUGCGUUGAGCUAACCGGUACUAAUGAACCGUGAGGCUUAACCUUACAACGCCGAAG
Molecule: ribosomal RNA, 258 nt
Filed under: Salmonella enterica subsp. enterica serovar Ohio
Lineage: Bacteria; Pseudomonadati; Pseudomonadota; Gammaproteobacteria; Enterobacterales; Enterobacteriaceae
Description: partial 23S ribosomal RNA
Rfam family: Bacterial large subunit ribosomal RNA
Source: RNAcentral